CUACUGCAGCAAGAGAAGCAACCAUUUUCUUCAUUUCUAAAAGAUAUUCAUUGAUAAUUUUAUCUUUUUUUAUCAUCUGAAGUUUCAAUUUCAAUUUCUUUACAACAACUCGAGUAUGUGUUAUGUAUCUUCCAAAUGUGACGAGAAAACUUCAAUCCCACCAUCUUCAUCAAGAUCAAUAAGGACAUCAACAAGCAAUUGAUAUUUUUGAACAUAAUUGGUGUAUUUACGAUUCUCAAUAUUUGUGAUUUCAUUUUCUUUAUCAGCAGCAUAUAAUGGUGGAAUGUCAUCGCCAUGAACAAACUUCUCAAGCUUUAACCCUCUUAUCAUUGCAAGAGCCUGUUGUCAAAUUGAGAAAGUAUCAUCAUCUAAUUUCAUAACAAUCGAUGUAUGGAACAUUUGUGGUGCAAACUGAGAUGCAGAAGCGGAAGCAAUGACACUUGAUACCAUGUUAGGUUUAGGCAUAGGUGAAAUAUGAAAAAAAAAAAGAAAAAAAAAAAGAGAACAACAAAUGUUUUAUUAAUAUGUAAUAUCUAAAUUUGGUAGCAAAAAUUUUGGUUGUUAAUUAGAUACCAAUUUAAAAAAUAUUUAACAAUAAUAGAAACUAAUUUAGAAACCAAAAAUUUAUUUAGUUAUCUAAUUUAGUUAUUAUAGUAACUAAUUAUUUUAUUUUUUUUAUAAAAUUGAUUUUUAUUUUAUGAUUUUUUUUUUCAUAAUUUCUAUUUUUUUUAAUGCUCAAUAAGUUAUGAGUCUCGUAAAAAAACAUGUUACAUUGUUAUACCGAAAAUAUUUUUUAUAUUGUUGUAUUACUGUAAGCAUAUUUAAUAUCAAAAGUAUCAAUUACUAACAUGGUUAAUUUGUUUAUUCCUUAUAAAACCAAUAUUUUCUAAGGAACAACACUAAAGUAUUGUAGUAACUAUUUUCACACCCACAUGGUCUCUUACUUCCAUUUAACAACUCUAUAUAUUAAUAAAAUAUUUAAUUAAAUUAUUUGAUUAAAAUAUAAAUUAAAUUAUUAAAUAAAAUAUUAAUAAAAAUGGUUGUAACAUGGUAGUAUAAAUUGUAAUGAAUGUCAAACUAUAAGAGGUUCUCAUAUGUUACAACUAUAAUGUUAUUCCAUAGAUUUGACAACACUUAAUCUCAAUGUAAAAAGUAUUCUAGAUAUAUAAGUAAAAGGAAAAUAUUUCUUUCAACAGAAAAAAAAAAGUAAAAUACAUACAAACUAUUAUAAUAAUAUAAUAAUAUUUUAAUUAAAAAAUAAAUCAAAUGAUUAAAAUAUCAGUUUAUUAGAAUGUGAAGUGAGUGUUUGUACGGUUUGUACCACUAUGUAAUAUGAGUUAUCAGAUAAAAAUUAUUAAAGAUAAAUACAACAUUCAUAAGAUUAUAGAUGAAACAAUAAAAAAUUGUGUUAGGAGAAGACCAAUACUAUAGAGACCCAAACUCAAUCACCUAUUUAAGUUACAGGUUUUUCUGAGUAGAGAGAAGAGAAGAAUUUGGUAAACCCUACUUUUAGUAGUCUUAGUAUUCCUUAGACUUAGUCUUAGUAGGUAGUUGUUGUUCUAUCAUUGGUGUUUUCAUUACUCUUACCAUGUCUCCCAAAACCCAAAUAAAAGACCUAAAUAAAAUACUAAACUUCAUCUAAAAGUGUUUAUAUGCUAUUGAAGAAACCCUACACCCCUCGUCUAAAACCCACACCAACGGCUCAAACACCUGCACCAUGCCACCAACGUUUCACCGCUCCAUCCAGCCCUUAGAACAACCUCCUGCACAUCAGGUCGCAUGCCACAACACCGCCCGUUGCACCUUAAGUUGGUCAACCACCAGCGUCCCAACCGCCUUGCCGCCUAGUGCCUUAAAACAGCCUCCACGCACACCAGGCUCCAUCCCGCAACACCACUAUUGGCAUCUAGAUCAUUCAACUACUAGCACCCCAACUGUCAUCGCUGCCCAAUGUCGCCUACAACUACACCGCCCGCAUUCCCCCCAAUUUUUGUGUCCCCCUCCUUCAUACCCUUUAAAGAGUGUUUCUCCCACUAACUUCAUCUGAAAAAAGACUUUUCGAUACUUAAGAGAGAGCACAAUAAUGGUAAUAUGUGUGCAAAGUAUGUCGGACAAGAGUAUAAAAUAAGAUAAAUUACACUUUCCUAGAUAGUUUGUAUUUUUAGAUUUUGUCAGUAAUGACUAUUGUGUUGGUCGUAUGAUGACCAUUUAUGGUUCAUGAAUAGUCGCUUAGCAAUAAAUAUUCUUUGAGUAUGCCGUUUUGUUUAAAAUUAUUAUUGAUAACAAUGAGAUCUCAGUAACCAAACACAUAUAGUUGUUUUGAACUAUAAAUAUUCCUACCUUUAUAGAUUUUUUUUUUCUUUUUUAUUUGAAUUUUAUUAUUGACCUGCAACAAAUGAUAAGUGUUUAGAGAGUGUCAAUGAUACUUAGUGUAUCAUAACAUUUCCUUAAAUAAUUCUAUAAUUCAUGUAAACGUUGAGUGUUAAAACAAAGUUUUAUAGUUUUUACUCCAUAAACAUUAUACAUCAUUUGAAGAUAUAUCUUCUAAGCUAAUCAUGUAGACAUUAUUAUACGACCAAGAAUGUGGCCAUUGAGAAUUCAAGCUGUUCAAGCUUACGUCCCAAAUCAAAGAAUCCUCAUACUUUAUACAUUUCGGUAACAUAUUUCAUGGUCAAAGGUUUUGGCGGCACUUUUUAAAAUAUAUACGUUACUUAUAAGGUAUUAUUAAGGUAUUAUUACUGAGUAUGGAUGGAUAGCCAACAUAUCAAUCAUUUGGUAUAUGAAGACAAAUCACAAGUAACUAAUCACUCCCUAAACAAGAUUAGAAAGAUGAUUAGGUCUUCAUGGACCUAGGACAACCCUCAGACCCAUAAAAAACUAUAAAUAGAAGACGACCCCAAUGAAAAAGAUAAUGAUUCUAUAAUUAUAAUAUUUGUAAAUUAGAUAGACCUAUAACUGACUUGAGCAUCAGAAUGUCUUUACAAGUAUCCACUCCAAGACAUUGAAAGACAAAGAUUCAAAGGACCACAUAACUAAAGAGAUUAGAGACUUGAUAGAAGAAAUCUGACAUGGUUCAACCAUGUAAGAACAAUAGUUACUUUCUAAACUUACUAAAAUCUUAAUUGUAAAUUUACUCGAAUCUUAUUCAAUAUUAACUAUCUUGAAUAAUUUAUACUUAUAUAUAAAAAAGGAUUCUUCAUCAUAACCAAUUACUGAUAUACACAAAUUUUUUCCAAUUUUACCCUUAUUAAUAUAUAUCAUUUUAUUAUUUAAUCUUUUAAAUUUUAAAAUUACAAAAAUGAGUGUUUUGUCAUUUUAUAUGAAUCACUUAAAAAUAAAAAUUUUUAUUUUUUAUUUUUUAUUUUUUAAAUUAAUGUUAAGAGACAAUUUUUAUAUGCAAACUAACUCACUCUUUCCUUAACUCCUUAUUUUCAGGAUCUAAGGCACAAACCUUUAUGAAAGAAUUUUUUUUAGGAAUAAGAAGGCAACGAGAGAGAAAGAGCACAAUAUUUAACCUCCAUUCUGAGUUUUCCUCUCCGCUGCUUCACUCCACUUCAAGCAACUUCAUUCCUCUGUAAAUUCAUCAUUCUUUUGCAUUUACCAUCAAGUGAACCCAAACUUUAGCCGGAACCUCAUCAUACUCAUUGAUCCCCAAAUCAGCAACAAAAGAAGAAGAGAAAAAGUAUAAAGAGGAGAGAAGCUCAAACUAGAGGAAAAGAAAGAUGUUGAUUUAUCAAUUCAUCAUUUUCU
Molecule: long non-coding RNA, 3750 nt
Filed under: Phaseolus vulgaris (common bean)
Lineage: Eukaryota; Viridiplantae; Streptophyta; Magnoliopsida; Fabales; Fabaceae
Description: long non-coding RNA (PVUL_LNC000511)
Source: RNAcentral